AGCAGUCGCCGCGGUAAUACGAAGGGGGCUAGCGUUGCUCGGAAUUACUGGGCGUAAAGGGCGCGUAGGCGGACAGUUCAGUCGGGGGUGAAAGCCCGGGGCUCAACCUCGGAAUUGCCUUCGAUACUGGCUGUCUUGAGUAUGAGAGAGGUGUGUGGAACUCCGAGUGUAGAGGUGAAAUUCGUAGAUAUUCGGAAGAACACCAGUGGCGAAGGCGACACACUGGCUCAUUACUGACGCUGAGGCGCGAAAGCGUGGGGAGCGAACAGGAUUAGAUACCCCAGUAGUCCCUGUCUCUUAUAC
Molecule: ribosomal RNA, 303 nt
Filed under: uncultured bacterium
Lineage: Bacteria
Description: partial 16S ribosomal RNA
Rfam family: Bacterial small subunit ribosomal RNA
Source: RNAcentral